Molecule: long non-coding RNA, 1482 nt
Filed under: Callithrix jacchus (white-tufted-ear marmoset)
Lineage: Eukaryota; Metazoa; Chordata; Mammalia; Primates; Cebidae
Description: lncRNA (ENSCJAG00000078359.1)
Source: RNAcentral
AAAGCAAGGGGUUUUCCUGUCCAUGGACUCAUUCAUAUUUCCCUGAUUUUGGAACUAUGUGCCAAGAACUUUGACAGUGAGAGAUGUGAGUGGUAUUCAUUGGUGGGAAUGGAUGGGUGGAAGGACUGAGAGGUUAGUAUUAACCAUCAAGAUGUUUGCAGAGCAAUGCAUACAUCCCUGAUCUGUAUUGGUCAACAUGUUGGAAGGCACAGGACGCUCAAAGCUCUACGCAGGGUAAGACAGAGGCCAGAGGAGGGAGCAGAAGUCACACCUGGAUGGAGCAGGCAGGAUGUCCCCACAGGGAGCGCUGAAGGCAGAGCUUGGCCCAGUCUUCCAUCACUUAUGGAAACAAUUGCCUGGAUUAAAGGCCCUCUACUUAAAAUACCAAGUGGCCGAGAGCAGGAGAGCAGUGGUUCACGCCUAUAAUCCCAGCACUUCAGGAGGUCUAGGCGAGAGGAUCCCCUGAACUCAGUAGUUCAAGAUCAGCUUCAGCAACAUAGUGAGACCUCGUCUCUACUAAAAAUUAAAGAAAAAACAAGCUGUGCAAGGUGGCAAGCGCCUUUAGUCCCAGCUGCUCAAGAGGCUGAGGUGAAGAUUGCUUGAGCCCAGGAGUUUGCAGUGAGUAAUGAUGGCAGCCAGCUUAGGUGACAGAGCAAGACCCUGUCUUCGAAUAAAUAAAAUAUCCAAGUGGUUUCCAUUUUCUGAUUAGAGGCUGACUAAUGCAAUGAAAUUUUCAUAUCACAUGUUAAGACUUCUGUAUUAAUUUAGAAAUAAUGUUUUUUCCAUUUCCAUUUGUUCAAUGUCUUCAUAUUGUUUUUGUCCUUAAUAUAAAUCAUUUGUUUGUCAUCUAACUCAGUGUUUCACAAUACAGCAUGUUUAGAGAAAGAAUUUUUGGAAUUGAUCUAUAGUGUUUCCACAGGUAGUCUUAUCUUAAACCCAAAGGACUAUUUUUAUAAUAUUAAAAUGUAUUUCCAUUCACCCUGCUGAUGUAUUUUUUGUGAUUGCUACAAUAUUGUCUUACCGUAUUUUUUAAGAUUGCCUGUAUUGAAAUAAUGUAAUUUAAUUUAUAUAAAAUAAAAGACAAACAUUUUAAGUGUACAGUUUGCUGAACUUUGACAAAUCCAGACACUUCUGUAGCCACCGACACAAUCGACAAAUAGAAAACCUUCAUGAUCUCCACAGUUCCCUCAAGCCCACUUGUGGUCAAUCCCAUCUUUGGGCCCAGCUGACUACUUGUUUGCUUUCUGUCACUCCAAAUUAGCUUCUUCUUUUCUAAAAUAUCAUAUAAAUGGCAUCCUAUGUAUGUUUUCUUAGUGUCUGGCUUCUUUCUCUCAGCCCAAUAAUUUUGAAAUCUAGUCACACUAUGUGUAUUAGUACAUUAUUUUUGUUCUUACUUAGUAGAAUCCAUCAUAUGGAUUAAGUGAAAUGUGUCUAUUUAUUUUGGUGAAUAUUUGAGUGUUUCCAGUUUGAGCAAUUAUGAAU